AAAGAGGUGGGGGAUAAGUCGCCUGCUGCUUGUUCUCCAAGUCUUAUCAGAGAAUCAGAGGUUGGACUCUGUAAUAUGUGAAAUAAAUCAGCCGUUGUCUUAAUGUGUUUUUUCCAGAAAAACCCUCAGGUCAUGUAUCUGGAGCAAGAACUAGAAAGCCUGAAAGCUGUGUUGGAGAUCAAGAAUGAGAAGCUGCAUCAGCAGGACCUGAAGCUAAUGAAGAUGGAAAAGCUGGUAGGUCUCCUGGGGGGCAGAGUGAGCACAGCCUGUGUGUGUGCGCAUGCGUGGGUGCGCAUGCGUGGGUGCGCAUGUCCAUGCGCGAGCGGUGUUGCCUGGGAAAUAGGACGGCAGAGCUUAGAGCUUUGGAGCUGUGGGGUUGAGCUCUCUUGUACUUAAUGAUAUUUGGAAAGUACCCAAAGGGUCAGAGCUGCAUUUUUCGUUUCCAAGUCUAUUAAAAGCUUCAUUGCUGCUUUCUAGAACUUUUUUUAUAGAAUGCACACAAAGCAUUUAGUUUUGGAAAAAGUAUAACAAAUCAAGUUCACAUUUCAGUAGUCUGUGAAUCUUUACUUGCCUAACCA
Molecule: long non-coding RNA, 578 nt
Filed under: Rattus norvegicus (Norway rat)
Lineage: Eukaryota; Metazoa; Chordata; Mammalia; Rodentia; Muridae
Description: long non-coding RNA NONRATT011529
Source: RNAcentral